GAUGAACGCUGGCGGCGUGCCUAAUACAUGCAAGUCGAGCGAACGGACGAGAAGCUUGCUUCCCUGACGUUAGCGGCGGACGGGUGAGUAACACGUGGAUACCCUACCUAUAAGACUGGGAUAACUUCGGGAAACCGGAGCUAAUACCGGAUAAUAUUUUGAACCGCAUGGUUCAAAAGUGAAAGACGGUCUUGCUGUCACUUAUAGAUAGAUCCGCGCGGCAUUAGCUAGUUGGUAAGGUAACGGCUUACCAAGGCAACGAUGCAUAGCCGACCUGAGAGGGUGAUCGGCCACACUGGAACUGAGACACGGUCCAGACUCCUACGGGAGGCAGCAGUAGGGAAUCUUCCGCAAUGGGCGAAAGCCUGACGGAGCAACGCCGCGUGAGUGAUGAAGGUCUUCGGAUCGUAAAACUCUGUUAUUAGGGAAGAACAGAUGUGUAAGUAACUAUGCACAUCUUGACGGUACCUAAUCAAAAAGCCACGGCUAACUACGUG
RNAcentral lists this ribosomal RNA (497 nucleotides) under uncultured bacterium. Its description in RNAcentral is "partial 16S ribosomal RNA". It matches the Rfam family "Bacterial small subunit ribosomal RNA", at positions 28 to 507 of the family's 1533-position model. The record is from RNAcentral.